Molecule: ribosomal RNA, 442 nt
Filed under: uncultured bacterium
Lineage: Bacteria
Description: partial 16S ribosomal RNA
Rfam family: Bacterial small subunit ribosomal RNA
Source: RNAcentral
CCUACGUGUGGCAGCAGUGGGGAAUAUUGGGCAAUGGGCGCAAGCCUGACCCAGCAACGCCGCGUGAAGGAAGAAGGCUUUCGGGUUGUAAACUUCUUUUCUAAGGGACGAAGAACGUGACGGUACCUUAGGAAUAAGCUCCGGCUAACUACGUGCCAGCAGCCGCGGUAAUACGUAGGGAGCGAGCGUUAUCCGGAUUUACUGGGUGUAAAGGGCGUGUAGGCGGGAUGGCAAGUCAGGCGUGACAACUAUGGGCUCAACGCCGGCCUGCCGUCGGAACUGGGUGCCUUGAGUGGGCGAGAAGUAUGCGGAAUGCGUGGUGUAGCGGUGAAAUGCAUAGAUAUCACGCAGAACCCCGAUUGCGAAGGCAGCAUACCGGCGCCCGACUGACGCUGAGGCACGAAAGUGCGGGUAUCGAACAGGAUUAGAUACCCCUGUAGUC